This 774-nucleotide ribosomal RNA is filed under the name uncultured Neocallimastigales. Its description in RNAcentral is "partial large subunit ribosomal RNA". It matches the Rfam family "Eukaryotic large subunit ribosomal RNA", at positions 23 to 616 of the family's 3401-position model. The record is from RNAcentral. Lineage: Eukaryota; Fungi; Neocallimastigomycota; Neocallimastigomycetes; Neocallimastigales.
ACACGCAUGACACACUGCAUAUCAAUAAGCGGAGGAAAAGAAACUAACAAGGAUUCCCUUAGUAACGGCGAGUGAAGCGGGAAGAGCUCAAAUUUGAAAUCUUCAAGGUUUUACCUUGACGAAUUGUAGUUUAAAGAAGUGUUUUCUGUUGAAGUUUUGGUAAAAGUUCUUUGGAAUAGGACAUCAUAGAGGGUGAGAAUCCCGUAUUUGACUAUUCUUUCUAGCUUUGUGAUACACUUUCAAAGAGUCGGAUUGUUUGGGAAUGCAGUCCAAAAUGGGUGGUAAAUUUCAUCUAAAGCUAAAUAUUGGCGAGAGACCGAUAGCGAACAAGUACCGUGAGGGAAAGAUGAAAAGAACUUUGAAAAGAGAGUUAAACAGUACGUGAAAUUGUCAAAAGGGAAGCGUUUGACACCAGUGUUGUCUUUCCGAAAAUCAAUUAAAAAUUGAUUCAUGCCAGGUUGUAUUGACCUUAUCAGCUUGCAAUUUGGUUUUGGGUCUCUUUUUGAUGCACUUUUCGGUUAACAAGUCAACAUCAAUUUCCUUUGCUGUAAAAAGGUAAGAGGAAGGUGGCUUCAAUUUCGGUUGAAGUGUUUAUAGCCUUUUAUCUCUGCAGUCGGGGAGAUUGAGGUCUGCAGCGUAGAUCCUUCGGGGCUAGAUACAUUUAUGCUAAGUUAUAGCUUUUCAUAGACAACUUGUUGACUAUGUUUAGUCAUGUAGCUUACUCGUAAGUGCUAUUUUACCUACGCUUAGGAUGUUGAGCGCAUGUCUCUCUCU